Molecule: long non-coding RNA, 637 nt
Filed under: Salvia miltiorrhiza (redroot sage)
Lineage: Eukaryota; Viridiplantae; Streptophyta; Magnoliopsida; Lamiales; Lamiaceae
Description: long non-coding RNA (SMIL_LNC007469)
Source: RNAcentral
GAUAAUCAACAAAGUAUCUAACAAUCCAAAUUCUAGUUAAGUUAGCACCUAGCAAAAUAGAUUCAAGUUCCUAAAACAAACAUAAUCAAGGGGGUGGUAGAUUCCUCAUCUCAGCUAGCAGCUUCAUGAACUCGGCUUGCUGUGCCUGCAACUGUGCCUGUACGUCUGCACGCAUCUGAGCCUCUCUAACUUGUGCCUCCUCUCGUAUAUGCGCCUCUCUAGCCUCCAUCUUAGCCUGCAUCUAAGCCUCGUACUCCUUCAUCUUAUCGGCUAAAACUGCAUCAAGCUGAGGCUGUGAGCUAAAACUGGCUCCUUGGUUGGAUCUAGAGGUGGAGGUGUAAGCAUGAGAACGUGAACCAAUCCCAAAAACUCGCUUCUUGGCCGAUACGCCUCCAACUGCAUCCAGUAGUAACCUGUUCAUGUCUACCUCCUGAGACUCAGAGCCAUCAUUUGACUGAGAUUGAGCUAGCUCUGCAGCCUUGGCAGUCACUUGGGCCUGUUUUUGUAGUUAAUAAAAACUUUAUAAGUUAAUCAUUAAGUAUAGAUACAUAAAGAUGAAUUUGUGAUAACUUAAUUUAAGGAUUUCAUACGUAUGCAUCUCGAGCUCUGGGAUAGGUGAAUUCUCCAGCCUUCGCAU